GCUUGUCUCAAAGAUUAAGCCAUGCAUGUGUAAGUAUCAGAAGUCUGAACUUCAAAACUGCGAAUGGCUCAUUAUAUCAGUUAUAGUUUAUUUGAUAGUACCUUACUACUUGGAUAACCGUAGUAAUUCUAGAGCUAAUACAUGCAUAAAUACCCAACUAUGCUUCGGUGUGGACGGGUAGCAUUUAUUAGAUUGAAACCAAUGCGUAGCUUCGGUUGCGGUAUUGAGUUGAAUCAUAAUAACUGUCGUAUCGAGCAAUCGAAGCGCCAUACAAGUUUCUGCCCUAUCAGCUUUGGAUGGUAGGGUAUUGGCCUACCAUGGCUUUAACGGGUAACGGAGAAUUAGGGUUCGAUUCCGGAGAGGGAGCCUGAGAAACGGCUACCACAUCCAAGGAAGGCAGCAGG
RNAcentral lists this ribosomal RNA (404 nucleotides) under uncultured Haptoglossa. RNAcentral describes it as "partial small subunit ribosomal RNA". It matches the Rfam family "Eukaryotic small subunit ribosomal RNA", at positions 30 to 432 of the family's 1831-position model. Lineage: Eukaryota; Oomycota. The record is from RNAcentral.